UAGGGAAUCUUCCGCAAUGGGCGAAAGCCUGACGGAGCAACGCCGCGUGAGUGAUGAAGGUCUUCGGAUCGUAAAACUCUGUUAUUAGGGAAGAACAAAUGUGUAAGUAACUAUGCACGUCUUGACGGUACCUAAUCAGAAAGCCACGGCUAACUACGUGCCAGCAGCCGCGGUAAUACGUAGGUGGCAAGCGUUAUCCGGAAUUAUUGGGCGUAAAGCGCGCGUAGGCGGUUUUUUAAGUCUGAUGUGAAAGCCCACGGCUCAACCUUGGAGGGUCAUUGGAAACUGGAAAACUUGAGUGCAGAAGAGGAAAGUGGAAUUCCAUGUGUAGCGGUGAAAUGCGCAGAGAUAUGGAGGAACACCAGUGGCGAAGGCGACUUUCUGGUCUGUAACUGACGCUGAUGUGCGAAAGCGUGGGGAUCAAACAGG
This 429-nucleotide ribosomal RNA is filed under the name Actinomycetes bacterium. RNAcentral describes it as "Actinobacteria bacterium partial 16S ribosomal RNA". It matches the Rfam family "Bacterial small subunit ribosomal RNA", at positions 355 to 776 of the family's 1533-position model. Lineage: Bacteria; Bacillati; Actinomycetota; Actinomycetes. The record is from RNAcentral.